GGGACCCUAGUAUACCACUAAUACAUGACCCUGUCAGUGUCAAAACAUAGAGCCCUAUGAGUCCCC
RNAcentral lists this transfer RNA (66 nucleotides) under Draco maculatus. RNAcentral's name for it is "tRNA-Asp". Lineage: Eukaryota; Metazoa; Chordata; Lepidosauria; Squamata; Agamidae. The record is from RNAcentral.